GAUGAACGCUGGCGGCGUGCCUAAUACAUGCAAGUAGAACGCUGAAGGAAGGAGCUUGCUCUUUCCGGAUGAGUUGCGAACGGGUGAGUAACGCGUAGGUAACCUGCCUGGUAGCGGGGGAUAACUAUUGGAAACGAUAGCUAAUACCGCAUAACAGUAGAUGUUGCAUGAUAUCUACUUAAAAGGUGCAAUUGCACCACUACCAGAUGGACCUGCGUUGUAUUAGCUAGUUGGUGAGGUAACGGCUCACCAAGGCGACGAUACAUAGCCGACCUGAGAGGGUGUUCGGCCACACUGGGACUGAGACACGGCCCAGACUCCUACGGGAGGCAGCAGUAGGGAAUCUUCGGCAAUGGACGGAAGUCUGACCGAGCAACGCCGCGUGAGUGAAGAAGGUUUUCGGAUCGUAAAGCUCUGUUGUAAGAGAAGAACGAGUGUGAGAGUGGAAAGUUCACACUGUGACGGUAUCUUACCAGAAAGGGACGGCUAACUACGU
This 496-nucleotide ribosomal RNA is filed under the name uncultured bacterium. RNAcentral describes it as "partial 16S ribosomal RNA". It matches the Rfam family "Bacterial small subunit ribosomal RNA", at positions 28 to 506 of the family's 1533-position model. The record is from RNAcentral.